AACGAACGCUGGCGGCAUGCCUAACACAUGCAAGUCGAACGAGAAAGUUCUUCGGAAUGAGUAAAGUGGCGCACGGGUGAGUAAUACAUGGAUAAUCUGCCCUUUAGUUUGGGAUAACUCUUCGAAAGAAGGGCUAAUACCUUAGAGACCACGAGGACAUCAGUUCUUGAGGUUAAAGGUGGGGUCGCAAGACCUAUCGCUAGAGGAUGAGUCCAUGCACUAUCAGCUAGUUGGUGAGGUAAUGGCUCACCAAGGCUUUGACGGUUAGCUGGUCUGAGAGGAUGAUCAGCCACACUGGAACUGAGACACGGUCCAGACUCCUACGGGUGGCAG
This 333-nucleotide ribosomal RNA is filed under the name uncultured Pseudomonadota bacterium. RNAcentral describes it as "bacterial SSU rRNA". It matches the Rfam family "Bacterial small subunit ribosomal RNA", at positions 29 to 351 of the family's 1533-position model. The record is from RNAcentral. Lineage: Bacteria; Pseudomonadati; Pseudomonadota.